Molecule: ribosomal RNA, 384 nt
Filed under: Triticum aestivum (bread wheat)
Lineage: Eukaryota; Viridiplantae; Streptophyta; Magnoliopsida; Poales; Poaceae
Description: partial small subunit ribosomal RNA
Source: RNAcentral
CUUGCCCGCCAUGUUCUUGGUGCCAUGCCUCUUCACAUUCUGAUGGUGAUGGCUAUGACUCCACCCAUCCUGAAGCAGCUCAACCGUCUAGUCUGUUCGUUUCUUUGGCGUGGGCAGAAGGAGGCCAAUGGCGGCCACUGCCUUGUGAAUUGGGCUACAUUUUGCCGUCCAAUCUCUCUUGGCGGACUUGGCAUCUCGAACUUCCAGCGCGCCGGCAUCGCCUUGCGGACUAGGUGGUUGUGGCUCCAAUCCACCGACCCCUCGUGCCGUGGCACCACUUGCAUAUGCCCAGCUGCCCCAAAGUUCAGGCUAUUUUCAGAGCCUCCACGUCCUAGACGCUUGGUGAUGGCCGCACCUGUAAAUUUUGGGUUGAUCAUUUGCUAG